GUAUAUUCUUCAUCUGAAGAUGUUCUUCCAGUCUCUGAGUCCCCUGGACCAGGCUGUCCUCCUCUGAGUGCCCUCACAUCAGCAUGUGCCACCCUGCCUGUGAUUACCUGGUUCCUUGGGUCAUCAUGACCAACACGAGGAGCCAACCCUUUCCUGGAGCUGGGGCUAGAUCUGGGAAGAGGAAACAGCUUUGCCUUCCAGGAGGCUCACAGGUGACACAGACAAGAGGAGAGGCGAUGACUAGACUCUCAUCCUAACAACCUCCUUCACCAGACAGAGGCUCUGGAGGAGAGAGGAUCCCAGGUUCUUCACCUUGCAUCUUUAGCACCUAACCCAGAGCAAUACCGGGGAUCAAACUCAAGGCCUUGUGCUUGCCAGGCAGAUGCCAUGCCACUGAGCUAUGUCCCAGACCUGAAGAUUAUGUCUGAUUUUUAAUAUGGACAUUUUCACUCACCUGUGACUAGUAUCUACAGGAACCAGACUGAGACCCGCAGGUGGAGAAAUGGUGGGGACACAAGGAUCGAAGACUGUCAUUCACUCCUGUGUUCACUCACUUGCUCCAUGAUACUUCCUAAGCAUCCAGUGUGGACAGGACAUUGCUUCUCUGGAGA
Molecule: long non-coding RNA, 611 nt
Organism: Heterocephalus glaber (naked mole-rat)
Lineage: Eukaryota; Metazoa; Chordata; Mammalia; Rodentia; Bathyergidae
Source: Ensembl